GUCUCAAGACUAAGCCAUGCAUGUCUAAGUAUAAACGCUUCUAUACUGUGAAACUGCGAAUGGCUCAUUAAAUCAGUUAUAGUUUAUUUGAUGGUUUCUUACUACUUGGAUAACCGUGGUAAUUCUAGAGCUAAUACAUGCACAAAGUCCCGACUCUUCGGAAGGGAUGUAUUUAUUAGAUCCAAAACCAAUGCGAGUCUCUCGGGGCUCGGUUUCUUGGUGAUUCAUGAUAACUGCUCGAACCGUAUGGCCCUUGCGCCGACGGUGCUUCAUUCAAAUUUCUGCCCUAUCAACUUUCGAUGGUACGGUAGUGGCCUACCAUGGUUGCAACGGGUGACGGAGAAUUAGGGUUCGAUUCCGGAGAGGGAGCCUGAGAAACGGCUACCACAUCCAAGGAAGGCAGCAGGCGCGCAAAUUACCCAAUCCCGACUCGGGGAGGUAGUGACAAUAAAUAACAAUGCCGGGCUAUUGUAGUCUGGCAAUUGGAAUGAGUACAAUCUAAAUCCCUUAACGAGGAACAAUUGGAGGGCAAGUCUGGUGCCAGCAGCCGCGGUAAUUCCAGCUCCAAUAGCGUAUAUUAAAGUUGUUGCAGUUAAAAAGCUCGUAGUUGGAUUUCGGGGUGGCCUGCCUGGUCCACCGCAAGGUGAGUACUGGUCAGCCGCCCUUCCUCUCGAAAGCCCCGACUGCUCUUCACUGCAGUGGUCGGGUAGUUCGGGACGUUUACUUUGAAAAAAUUAGAGUGUUCAAGGCAGGCUAUCGCCUGAAUACAUUAGCAUGGAAUAAUGGAAGAGGACCUCGGUCCUAUUUUGUUGGUUUCUAGGGCCGAAGUAAUGAUUAAGAGGGACAGUUGGGGGCAUUCGUAUUUAAUUGUCAGAGGUGAAAUUCUUGGAUUUAUGAAAGACGAACUAGUGCGAAAGCAUUUGCCAAGGAUGUUUUCAUUAAUCAAGAACGAAAGUUAGGG
RNAcentral lists this ribosomal RNA (961 nucleotides) under Halichondria sp. FSK061814. RNAcentral describes it as "SSU rRNA". It matches the Rfam family "Eukaryotic small subunit ribosomal RNA", at positions 34 to 995 of the family's 1831-position model. The record is from RNAcentral. Lineage: Eukaryota; Metazoa; Porifera; Demospongiae; Suberitida; Halichondriidae.